GGGCGCGUGGUACAGUGGUAGCACGCUUCCUUAGCAUGGAAGAGGUCCUGGGUUCAAUUCCCAGCGCGUCCA
This 72-nucleotide transfer RNA is filed under the name Fistulina hepatica ATCC 64428. Its description in RNAcentral is "tRNA-Ala (AGC) (tRNA-Ala-AGC-1 1 to 3)". It matches the Rfam family "tRNA". Rfam says of the family: Transfer RNA (tRNA) molecules are approximately 80 nucleotides in length. Their secondary structure includes four short double-helical elements and three loops (D, anti-codon, and T loops). The record is from RNAcentral. Lineage: Eukaryota; Fungi; Basidiomycota; Agaricomycetes; Agaricales; Fistulinaceae.